GCAAAGUAGGUGCGCGUGGAGGGGGUAAUACGUAGGGGGCAAGCGUUUGCCGGAAGUAGUGGGCGGAAAGAGCGCGCAUGCGGCCUUGUAAGUCUGAUGUGAAAGCCCCCGGCUCAACCGGGGAGGGACAUUGGAAACUGGAAGGCUUGAGUACAGAAGAGAAGAGUGGAAUUCCACGUGUAGCGGUGAAAUGCGUAGAGAUGUGGAGGAACACCAGUGGCGAAGGCGACUCUUUGGUCUGUAACUGACGCUGAGGCGCGAAAGCGUGGGGAGCAAACAGGAUUAGAUACCCGAGUAGUC
RNAcentral lists this ribosomal RNA (300 nucleotides) under uncultured Lactobacillus sp. RNAcentral describes it as "bacterial SSU rRNA". It matches the Rfam family "Bacterial small subunit ribosomal RNA", at positions 496 to 795 of the family's 1533-position model. Lineage: Bacteria; Bacillati; Bacillota; Bacilli; Lactobacillales; Lactobacillaceae. The record is from RNAcentral.